UUUACAGGCUAUGCUAAUCUGU
This 22-nucleotide microRNA is filed under the name Pundamilia nyererei. Its description in RNAcentral is "pny-miR-2187a". The record is from miRBase by way of RNAcentral. Lineage: Eukaryota; Metazoa; Chordata; Actinopteri; Cichliformes; Cichlidae.